This 334-nucleotide unclassified non-coding RNA is filed under the name soil metagenome. RNAcentral's name for it is "partial contains 5.8S ribosomal RNA, internal transcribed spacer 2, and large subunit ribosomal RNA". The stretch from base 1 to 120 matches the Rfam family "5.8S ribosomal RNA", at positions 35 to 154 of the family's 154-position model. The record is from RNAcentral.
GAUGAAGAACGUAGCGAAAUGCGAUAAGUAAUGUGAAUUGCAGAAUUCAGUGAAUCAUCGAAUCUUUGAACGCACAUUGCGCCCGCCAGUAUUCUGGCGGGCAUGCCUGUUCGAGCGUCAUUUCAACCAUCAAGCCCCCGGCUUGUGUUGGGGACCUGCGGCUGCCGCAGGCCCUGAAAACCAGUGGCGGGCUCGCUAGUCACUCCGAGCGUAGUAAUACAUCUCGCUCAGGGCGUGCUGCGGGUUCCGGCCGUUAAAAAGCCUUAUUUACCCAAGGUUGACCUCGGAUCAGGUAGGAAGACCAGCUGAACUUAAGCAUAUCAAAAGCGGAGGA